RNAcentral lists this ribosomal RNA (425 nucleotides) under uncultured eukaryote. Its description in RNAcentral is "SSU rRNA". It matches the Rfam family "Eukaryotic small subunit ribosomal RNA", at positions 567 to 990 of the family's 1831-position model. The record is from RNAcentral.
CCAGCACCCGCGGUAAUUCCAGCUCCAAUAGCGUAUAUUAAAGUUGCUGCAGUUAAAAAGCUCGUAGUUGGAUCUUGGGAGCGGGCGGGCGGUCCGCCGCGAGGCGAGCCACCGCCCGUCCCCGCCCCUUGCCUCUCGGCGCCCCCUCGAUGCUCUUAGCUGAGUGUCCCGCGGGGCCCGAAGCGUUUACUUUGAAAAAAUUAGAGUGUUCAAAGCAGGCCCGAGCCGCCUGGAUACCGCAGCUAGGAAUAAUGGAAUAGGACCGCGGUUCUAUUUUGUUGGUUUUCGGAACUGAGGCCAUGAUUAAGAGGGACGGCCGGGGGCAUUCGUAUUGCGCCGCUAGAGGUGAAAUUCUUGGACCGGCGCAAGACGGACCAGAGCGAAAGCAUUUGCCAAGAAUGUUUUCAUUAAUCAAGAACGAAAGU